UGGGGAAUUCUGGACAAUGGGCGAAAGCCUGAUCCAGCAAUGCCGCGUGUGUGAAGAAGGCCUUCGGGUUGUAAAGCACUUUUGUCCGGAAAGAAAUCCUUGGCUCUAAUACAGUCGGGGGGAUGACGGUACCGGAAGAAUAAGCACCGGCUAACUACGUGCCAGCAGCCGCGGUAAUACGUAGGGUGCAAGCGUUAAUCGGAAUUACUGGGCGUAAAGCGUGCGCAGGCGGUUUGCUAAGACCGAUGUGAAAUCCCCGGGCUCAACCUGGGGAACUGCAUUGGUGACUGGCAGGCUAGAGUAUGGCAGAGGGGGGUAGAAUUCCACGUGUAGCAGUGAAAUGCGUAGAGAUGUGGAGGAAUACCGAUGGCGAAGGCAGCCCCCUGGGCCAAAUACUGACGCUCAUGCACGAAAGCGUGGGGAGCAAACAGGAUUAGAUACCCUGGUAGUCCACGCCCUAAACGAUGUCAACUAGUUGUUGGGGAUUCAUUUCCUUAGUAACGUAGCUAACGCGUGAAGUUGACCGCCUGGGGAGUACGGUCGCAAGAUUAAAACUCAAAUGAAUUGACGGGGUCAUAGCUG
Molecule: ribosomal RNA, 582 nt
Filed under: uncultured bacterium
Lineage: Bacteria
Description: partial 16S ribosomal RNA
Rfam family: Bacterial small subunit ribosomal RNA
Source: RNAcentral